GCGAAAUCGGGGGCAUCGGCGGGUGGAAUACGUAGGGGGCAAGUGUUAAUCGGAAGUACGUGUCGAGAAACGCGCGUAGGUGGUUUUGUAAGUUGGCGUGGAAAUCCCCGGGCUCAACCCGGGAACUGCCUCCAAAACUGCAUGACUAGAGUACGGUAGAGGGUAGUGGAAUUUCCUGUGUAGCGGUGAAAUGCGUAGAUAUAGGAAGGAACACCAGUGGCGAAGGCGACUACCUGGACUGAUACUGACACUGAGGUGCGAAAGCGUGGGGAGCAAACAGGAUUAGAUACCCUUGUAGUC
This 300-nucleotide ribosomal RNA is filed under the name uncultured Bacillus sp. RNAcentral's name for it is "bacterial SSU rRNA". It matches the Rfam family "Bacterial small subunit ribosomal RNA", at positions 496 to 795 of the family's 1533-position model. Lineage: Bacteria; Bacillati; Bacillota; Bacilli; Caryophanales; Bacillaceae. The record is from RNAcentral.